GCACAGGCCAUAGAACUUCCCCGCAAUAAUUCUUAUAGCAGAUCUUUUAGAAAAACAUUCAAUCUUGAUUUAAAAAUUGCCAGUGAUGAAGCAUCCACCUUCACCCUUGGUUUUCCAAUUUUUUAAUCGUUCUCGUAGCUCUUCUCUAAACCAACUCCAAUUAAUGAUCAUCCUUGAAUUGUGGGCACCAGAACUACACACAGCUUUCCAGCAGAGGUUGCACCAGUGCCAAAUAUAAAGCAACUGAAUGGCUACAUGUCUCAGAAUAUUUGCCACAAUCUCAUAAUUGAGAUUCAUUCUCCUUAGCCCAGAGGGCAGAAGCUUAGACUGUACUUUUGUCCUGGUUUGCUGUACUUCACAACACUGCUGUGUCUAAUCCAUCAUACCUAGACCAGAUGUAGAUGUGACAGCUGCCAUCAAGAAGGACAAAUUUUAAAAGGUUGUGGGAAAACAGCAGCACAAGGAAAAGGGGGAGGCAAUGGGCAGUCCCCUUAUCCUGCUCUCUGGGGUGAAACACUGAUGUCAUCAAAGAUUCAAAGCUGCCAGCACAGGGAGUCACUACACUUUGCCAUGUGCUUAUUAAAAGAGGUGUUGUGAGGAAUAGGUGCCAGCGACAUCCUUCUGACCAGCACAGAGGCUCAAGGGACCAACCCAACAUAAAUUUUUAAUGGGAUCAGCUGUGACACCAUAUACACAGAGAAGACCUUAAGGCCUUAAAGUCAUCCUAUUGGAACAUUUUUAGGGGCCCAGAAAAAUUGGUUUAAUUAAUCUUCUUUUUUCAGGAUUGCUUUUUUUCCCCCCAGUAUAAAUUAUGUAUACUGAAAACCUGCCAAUUAUAGCAAAUUAAGGGACUUGGCAAGUGCAUCCCUUGGAGGCAGAUGGUAAAUAAUAUUCAGAUUCUGACUUGAAACAGGGCUAGUACUUAGCUGAUGCAGGAUUGAAAAGCAAUCCAAAUACAUGAAA
This is a long non-coding RNA of Mauremys reevesii (Reeves's turtle), 963 nucleotides long. RefSeq lists it as uncharacterized. The record is from RefSeq and is a predicted model, not a curated record. The transcript has 5 exons. Lineage: Eukaryota; Metazoa; Chordata; Testudines; Geoemydidae.